UCAGAGUGAAAAAAGUGUGAACAGCCUCCUUUUUUUGUCUCAUUUGGCAUCUGGAAGGGAAUAGCAGGCUGUUUCUCAGUUUGGUAUUGUUAUGAGCUUGCAUAGAAAAGCCUGAGUAAUUUGAAUCCCAGCCUUGUGAUGUGAAGGUAGAUAAAUAGAAAUCUCUUGAGAAGGGAAGGGAAGGUUGAAAGAGUCAGAAACCCAGAGCUCCACUAAGACCCCUCAUUAUGGGUCUAGAAGUACACAGCAGCACCUACAUCCACAAGUAACAUUUUUAAGUUUCCCCUUUUGCAGGGCAAAAAUGACUUGCACAUUUUUGUUUCUCUUUGAACAUGCUGUUGCCACAGGAACUGUUUCAGUUUCCUGCCAAAAAUGAGACUUUUUCAAAUACAAAGCUACAUAAAAUGCUACCUAAAGCCUUACCCAGACACCCAAACCAGCCCCUGUUGUUCACCAACCUUAGCAGGCUUUGAGUAAUGAUGUUGUAGUUUAUGCUCCUGAUUAUGUGCUUCUUGGUGCUUCUCAACAGCAGCUAAGGACAGCUGACAAUUUUAUGGGUGAGAAAAUAUGGAUCACACUGCUGCUCUGUCUCCUUUGCCAUUCAUUUUUGUAGUUGUGACUUAGAAAAACAGCUCUGAAAUUUGGUUCUGUUUUUAGGUGCAUUCAGCAGCGUCAGCAUGUAGCAUGGAGCACACACUCACUCAGGUGGGACACGUAGGAAAGACCACACAAAUAUGGAUUCUAUAUCCAGCAGGCAAUCUCAGAGCAGCUCAUCUCAGCACUGUCACCUUAGGAAUACUGCUCUGCCCUCCUGCUUUUUCUUCCCAUGCUGUUCCCAUCUAGUUUUUUGGGUUUAGGGUGGUUUUCUGAAGGCUGAUUUUAAAGCCCUGGGACUUCCAAGGGUGUGUGAGUUGUCAGACCCAAAGGUGGCAGUUUCACCACCUGUGCAGCAUCCCAUCAAAACCUGAAGCUUUUUAAGUUGCUUUUCUCAACCACCAGUGGAAGACUGUGGUAUUGGCACACAUCACACAGUCCUGAAGUCACAUCUGCCUGAUGGCAGCUUAGCUGCAAGUGUUUAAAACAGCUCCUUUGGGCCUCAUACUGUGGCAUUCACAUUCUCUGAAAAAUCCCUUCACCCAGGGUUUUUCUCCUGGGAAGCUGAGAAGCCUCAGAGAAAAAGGGAAACAAUUCUUAUCUCAUUCUCUUCUCCUGUGCUGUGCUCACAUGUGGAAUGUGUUUGGAGAUUGUUCACCCACAGGUGAUUGUUCCAUUGCAUUCUGCUGGGAGUUUUUUUCACCCUUUGCCCAAUCAGGGCCAGGCUGUGUCAGGGCUCUGGAGAGAGUCAGGAGUUUUCAUUAUUGUCUUUUUAGCCUUCCGUCAGUAUGCUUUCUGUAUUCUUUAGUAUAGUUUAGUUUAGUAUUCUUUAAUAUACUAUAGUAUCAUAAAAUAAUAAAUUAGCCUUCUGAGAGCAUGGAGUCAGAUUCAUCAUUCCUCCCUGCAAAUACAACAGCAUUCCUUACAGAGCUCAGAACUGCACUGCAGCCUUUGGGCAGUGCAAUUCUGCAUCAGGUGCUGCACACGCCUCUGCUCCUGCCAAAAUAUUGCAGAGGCUUCUGAAGGUUGCAGGAUGAGGGUUUUCCUGGUUUAUGGUGGAGGCACAAAGUUCUUUCUGUAAAGAAGAAAAAAUACACGUACAGUCAUUUUGCAAAUAUUUCCAUGAGGUUUUUCCCACCCCCAGGACAUUGCAGAGACCGUGUGCACCUGUGUGGGUACGUGCCUGCUGGGGGCAGCAAGAGGAGAUGAGAGGAAUGACCCAGCAGAAGAUCAAAGGAUGGGAUGAAUCUCUCUUCCUGGAGGCUGCCCAUGCCAUGUGGUUCCUGUUGGAAUUUCAGCAAGGACUCCUGCAGUCCUCAAACCAGCUGCCCUGGCCCUGGCCACACUAACACUCCAUCAGUUUUCCAAUCACAAAUCCCUUAACUGGCCCAGAGAAGGGCCUAAGAGGUUUGGGAGUGAGAAAGCAAUUGUAUUCCAGAGCAAAGCCCAGGGUUAAACCACAAAGCAUGUUCUCUCUCUGAAUGGCUGCAGGGAAACCUAGAAGCUGUGUGCAGGAGUGCUGUAAAGUGGGAAAAGCAGCACACAGAUGUGAAGAGAUGGUGUCAGCCUCCUGUGAAAUUCCUCUGACCCUGGGCUAGUCCAGUCCCAUCCAUGCUGAGGUUUCAGGAGCUGGGACUGGCCAUGCUUUCUUCCCAUGAGAUACUUGUGUACUGAGCAAGCUAAGUGGGAGUAAUUACUGGAGUAAUUCUCUUUGCUGCACAGGCACUGGCACUAAGCAAAGCCUCUGACUCAGAAGUGUUUCUUGAUACUGAAAUCAGAAGAAAAUUAAUCUAUUCUUCUUCUGCAGCAUUAUGUGUAUUUCCAUUUUGAUGAAAUUUCAUUCAUCUAACAUGAAAAAGAAGAGGUGCCUCUGCAUGGCCUGUCACCCUGUUUUGCACCCUGUUCCUCAGUCAGGAGUCCCAAGCAGUGAUGCAGGAGCACCCCACUGGAACUCAGCAGUUCUGAGUGCAGGAGGACAGCACAUGCAGUGCUCCACCCGUGGGAGCCAUGGACAGAGGCCAGGAGCUCUCUGCUCCUGCUGCAGGGCCAGCACUGCUGCUCCAGUGCCUGACUGAUCUCCUUGGGCUGGGGAGAGUCCCAGGAUGAGCCUGCCUCAGCUCCCAGGAGAUGUGGAUUUGCACCCAGAGCCCAGGGCCAGCAGGAGGGCUGUGGGACCCUCUCAGGGACCCACCCCAGCAGCUGCUCUGGGGCAAAACUGCAAGGGCAGCUUCAAACUGCUGGAACUCAGCAAAGGCAUACCAAGCACCUCCUGGCCAAGUGGGAGGACUGAUGGGACUGAAACCCUCCAGGGUUGUAGGGCCUUGCACCCACAUCAAAUCUGUGUUUUGAACAAAGAGUACUUCUCUCUAAGGUGCCAAGUUUCAGGCCAAAACAGUUUGAAAUGCUUUGAAACUGCUUCUGAGAACUGAACUCUAACCAAAAUCAUCCCUCCCCCCAGGUGCUAGCACCAGGCUAUCUGUUCAUCAUUUGUUAUUGACCAUUCCAUAGUUUUUAGCAGCUACUCAAAGACUGACAGCUUGGUUCCACCCUGGUCUGCACCCAGGAGAAGGGAAGUAACACAUUUAGUACAAA
Long non-coding RNA from Haemorhous mexicanus (house finch), 3186 nucleotides. RefSeq lists it as uncharacterized. The transcript has 2 exons. The record is from RefSeq and is a predicted model, not a curated record. Lineage: Eukaryota; Metazoa; Chordata; Aves; Passeriformes; Fringillidae.